CUCACAACUUCAACUUCUUUCUAACAAUAUAGUUUUGCAGUUCUGACUGUUCUGAGUAUGAUCUUAUUCAUUCAGAAAUAUAAGCAUUGCACUGUAUUCAAUGGCAAGCUAUCCUGGAUUCCAGAGCCUUCAGUUGAUAAUAAAUUGAAAUAUCGUGAAGGCUCUGGUUCAACGGGAGGAUUCUUUGAUUAAACUGUGCCAAUCACAAAACAGAAUUAGCAGUUUUAGUACAGAUUUUGGGCGUGUUAACCCAUUAAGCGCCAGCGCUCUCCCCUUGACGAGUAAAAUCGUC
Paramuricea clavata is the source of this 292-nucleotide non-coding RNA. NCBI's taxonomy places the organism in Eukaryota, Metazoa, Cnidaria, Anthozoa, Malacalcyonacea, Plexauridae. The record is from the annotation of a GenBank genome assembly.